UUAUCUUCCAUCUUUUAAGUCUGUAGCCAUUUCUUAAUUUACCACCACAUUGACAUUCCAAGUGUUGUUGUAAGUAGAUGAUUAAAACAACCGCAACAAAUAGGCUUCAAGGUAGUGGUGUCAACUACCAAAUUGCUCUUCUGUCUUUUCAGAUUAAUAUAUAAAAAGUAGUGUUGCUAAUUACUUUUUUUAAAAAAGAAAUUGUGUCAUCGUAAGCAUGAUGUCUACAUGAUAAACCAGAAGCAUCACUUUCUUUCUCUGCAGUGCCAAUGUUUAUUGCUAAAAGUGUUAGUCACUCAGUCAUGUCCAGUUCUGUGACCCCAUGGACUGUAGCUCGCCAGGCUCCUCUGUCCCUGGAAUUCUCCAGGUAAGAAUACUGGAGUGGGUUGUUGUGCCCUUCUCCAGGGGAUCUUCCAGUCCCAGGGAUCGAACCCAGGUCUUCCACAUUGCAGGCAGAUUCUUUACCAUCUGAGCUACCAGGGAAGCCUUAUUGCUAAAACCCCUGGGAAAAAACAUUCAGGCAAAAGAAAUACAGAUCGUUUUAAGCUCUAUUGUGUUCAUUUGUAGGUUUGUCUUUAUUUUCUUAAAACAUAAUACACAAAUACUUCAAACCUUUGAGGAAUAAGUCUCCAGAUUUUGUUUUUAUUUAUUCUUCAUUCUUGAGUUUGUGCUGUAGUAUCUGUGAAAGGAAUAAAACAUAAUUUAAAUAUAUUUUUCUUAAUUUAAUAUCUUACUUGAAGAAUUCUACUUCUGGGGUCAUGUUACAAUAUUCAUCUCUCUUUCUCUCUCUUCCUUGUUUUUCUCUUUUUUAUGAAUAUUUAUUGGAAAGAGAUGAGCAAGGAUUAAAAUGAAAAGUCACAAUGAAAUUCUGCUUUAUUUAUUUACCUGUUUUGUUAAGGCAUGAGAGAAGACCCUCAAGUAGAUCAACUAAACAGUCGAUGGUGUUUGCCUGGCAUCCGCGUGGUCCCUGGCCUAGAGAUGGCUCUUGACGGGUUGGCCUGUGCUUCCUACACAUACACUCUGAGCAUCAAGAGAUGGGACUUUUGCUCCCUCCAUUGAAUUCUGAGAUGACUUUGACUAAGAGGAUGCGGAACAUGUGAUGUUCCAAGGCUCGUGGGUCCAGACCAGAGUGUGAGAACUUUCAGUUCCUCCAUCUUAAAUCCUUGAGCCAGUACAUGUGAAACCUUAAUUAUCCUGUCCGCAGGCAUGAGUGCUUGUGUUUAUGUGAGAGAGAGAGAGACAGAGAGAAAGAACAUGAGGGAGAACCAGGAGAAUAAGACAUCAGAAAAAGAAAAAACAAAAACAAAAAUCAGAAGCAUCACAGCCAAGAGGAGUCUAAGGAGAUGUGACAACUAAAU
RNAcentral lists this long non-coding RNA (1358 nucleotides) under Bos grunniens (domestic yak). Its description in RNAcentral is "lncRNA (ENSBGRG00000015426.1)". Lineage: Eukaryota; Metazoa; Chordata; Mammalia; Artiodactyla; Bovidae. The record is from RNAcentral.